CGCGGCGGGAGGAGGCGGGAGGUGGAAAGGGUGUCUCGCCAACAGUCUCCGUAUCGCAACCCCAAGCUGGCCACACCGGUUCCGGGAGCAGCCGCUUCACGGCGGUCGAGUUUUCUUAGGACUCCCAUUCUUGAGGAGCUGGUUUUAGAGGAAUUUGAGAAAGGAAAGCAUUCAUUGGUGUUGAACGUCCCAGAUAUCCAGAUGUUUCUUUUUGCUCCUCUCCACUCCAGCAACAGGCUCCUGUGAGUCACUCUGAGUUUGGAUGUGGUAAGGAUCAGAGCCAAACUAGGACCUGCAUUUAUGAUCUCGAGCAGAGAAACUGAGGAACAUGGCAGGAAAAUGACUUAUCUAGCAUCAUCCAGCCAAUCGGUGAGAGAGCUAGAACUGGAUCACAGCUAUCCCAACCUCCAGGCUAGUGGUCUGACCACUAAACCACACAGCCUCUUUUUUUAGGGUUUGUUGGCUUGGUUUUUUAUUUAUUUAUUUUUCCUUUUGCUCUGCCCUGCCAGUAACUGGAAGCUCCCAGAUAAAAGAAGAGAAUUUCAAGUCCAGGCUGAACAUUUGACAUCCUCUUAUUUGUGGAGCAUUAUCCUGGGACUUGGAGGGUGCUGCUGUUGGGAUCUGUGUGGUGGAGCUGGGAACCAGCCCCAAGAAUAUAGCUUUGUUUGGGCAUUAACCCAUUUGCGGUUAUAAUAAUGAUAAGUUUCAGCACCAGUGGCGCCCGACUGUUAAUGACUCAAAGAAAGCUAAAUAAGAACAAGAUGUCAUCUCUGGAGCAAUUAGUAGCUUUUUCCUACAGCUCCAUCCCUUCCAUAAAAAUCCUAAGGACCCUUAUAUUUAAAGUCAGUCUUCUACUCUUAAUGUCUUGAACAGUCUAUUGAGGAAGAAAAGGGUAGGAGGUUGCUAGACUAAGGCUUCAAGAAAAUUUGAGGUUGCACAGAAAUAACAGGUAGCCUUACUGGUGUUGGAAUUACUGACUGUUUUAUUUUUCUUCUUUAUACUUUUAUAUAUUCUCAAAAUUUUCUAUAAUAGGUAUGUAUUAUAACUUGAAAACAAACAAUAAAUGACUUGAAAAUCUUCAAAAUAUUUUUAAAGCAGAAGUGAUGACCUUCCAGAUAGUAUUUGUUUUUCCCAAGAAGGAACAGCUACUUUUAGACUUCUCUUCUACCAUAGAGUACAUGAUAACAGAUUUUGGCCACACUUCAGUAGCAGAGGACAUUUUUUAGUGAAAUAAACACAACAUGGGUCUUAAGAAGAGUGGAAAUACGCAAGACUUGUUAAAAGCAGAUGUAAUUCUGUGACCUUGUUGAAUGUUAAGGAAAGAAAAAAAAUGUCAACUUUCAAUUUGGAUGGGUUUUCAGAUUCUUAAAUUAUCAUAACAUACUUCUGAAAAGGUUACCUAAACAAAUAAUCAUCCCGGUAAGCAACCAACUCAGAAGACAACUCCGCAAUCCUGAGUGUAAGCAAGCGAUAUGAAAUUGAUCAAAGCAUAGGGAAGGUACCAGAUGUUAAAGUCAUUCCUACAGCAUAAGGAACAGAAACAUCAAGGUCAAAGCAAUCAGAAAAACACCUACAAGAGAUGAUAUGUGGAGACAUUAGUUUAUCAGAUUAUAAUUCCUAAUUAUAAGGAGAAAAUUAAUAGACAUCUCUGGCUCUGCAGAGGACCUAUGACGAGACUGACACGGAAGAAAUUUCUCCCUUAAAUUGAGAACUUCAGAAAAGCAAACAUGAAUGUACUAAAUAGUUUUAAACUUCAAGGAAACAAUAAGGAAAGAAAAAAUGCAGGCUGAAUUAUUGCUACAAAAUAGGUUCAAGAAACUAGGACAAGCUUUUAUCGACUCAUCAAGCAGAAAAGAUGCUAAAGGCAAAGUAGCUACUAGGAAAUGCAGGUCAUGAAAUUCAUGCUGAGCUCUUCUUAAAAGACUUAUCUUCCGUAAAAGCAAAGCAGAAACUGUGAUGCCACUGUAUGGGAUUAACAUGUUCAAAUUAAAAAAUGCUAUUUACAGACAAGUCAUUUUGAACUGCUACAGGUCAACAACCCAGAGAUUUGGGAGAAUUUGCAGAGAAAAGAAAAAGAAACAUUCACAAACUCUUAGUUAAAAAUAACUAAUGCAUUACAAGCAAGCGGUUAUGAGGACAUGGCUUAAAUUGAACCGGAGCUCAAAGGCUGAGGUGCCAUAGGUCAUAAAGGUGGACUGUCUUUCCCAGCAGGAAGAUCACAGAAACCUGACCUGACUCGACUGCCGCCUUCAGUCAGCACGAAGAACUACACACAGAGAAAAUGCCUCAAUAUUAGUUACCAUGGUGAUGCUAGUUCAACCACAUUUCAUCUGUGUAAAAAUUUCAGGCAGAACAGUAUACAGAAGUACUGGCGAAAGGACUUAACACUUUACUUUUUGUUGCUGUUGCUGUUGCAAAGUUAACGUUAGCUUUGGUAAAGGAUGAUAAUUUGAAGUGAAAUCCUUUGAAAAGUUGAAAACAAGCAAGGAUGAAAUGUCAAACUUACAUUGGAGCAAUCUCGUAAUAGCCACUUUUGCACUAUACCAAAUUACUUUCCCCUCAGCUAACAUUGGGCAUUUGGGGCUUCCUGAUUCUAUUUACUAGUAAGAGGAAAGUGGUUUAAUGAGAUCGCAGAAGAUCCAAAGCCAGGAAAUGUUGACAUAUCAGCUUGGAGGGAGAAUUGAUAUACAGGACCCCAAGGAAGUUAGGGGCUUGGACAAAAGUAACAAGAGGAGAUUCAACCAAGAAACAAAACUAACCCAUGUUAUUAACCUGCUCUGGGGAGAGGAUAGAGCCUGAAGCUAAGACAAGAGCGUUUAUAACUUUCUAUAAUAACCCAAAAGUUAAAUACAGCUGGAAAGCCCUACAGACAGAAGCCUGGAGGAGGCUGAGGUCUUUGUGAAAGUGCAACUACAAGUAAAGACUUACUUCCUUACCCCCUUCCUUCCUUGCCAGGAUCAGAAAGUCAAAGAAGGUGAAGAGGCUAACACCGCUGAUUUACAAAGACAGCGAGGAGGAACUAUGUCUAGGCCAAUUCUGGACGUCUGAGCUGGGGCGACAGGACCCAGACAACCACCUCAGGAAAUGAGUAAAUGAAAAGGGGGAGUCGUGGAAUUAUUUAGCCCUAGCACAACGCUGCCUAGACCGGGGUGGGGGUGGAGCAAGAAGAAAAUCUCAGAAAAGGAAUUUUGACAGUGAGAAUGCUAGUUAAGAUACAGCACUCCAGGCCCCCUGAUGUCCCUUGUUUGAUGUUAAUAAAGACCUGGAGGAUUAUGCAUUAGCAAGCCUUGCGUAUUCUGAGACAUCAAU
Felis catus (domestic cat) is the source of this 3309-nucleotide long non-coding RNA. RefSeq lists it as uncharacterized. The transcript has 5 exons. NCBI's taxonomy places the organism in Eukaryota, Metazoa, Chordata, Mammalia, Carnivora, Felidae. The record is from RefSeq and is a predicted model, not a curated record.